This 444-nucleotide ribosomal RNA is filed under the name uncultured prokaryote. RNAcentral's name for it is "bacterial SSU rRNA". It matches the Rfam family "Bacterial small subunit ribosomal RNA", at positions 355 to 796 of the family's 1533-position model. The record is from RNAcentral.
UGGGGAAUAUUGGACAAUGGGCGCAAGCCUGAUCCAGCCAUCCCGCGUGGAGGAUGACGGCCCUAGUGGUUGUAAACUCCUUUUAUAAGAGAAGAAACCCCGAGAUUUAUCUUGGGCUGACGGUAUCUUACGAAUAAGCACCGGCUAACUCCGUGCCAGCAGCCGCGGUAAUACGGAGGGUGCAAGCGUUAUCCGGAAUCACUGGGUUUAAAGGGUGCGUAGGUGGUUUAGUAAGUCAGAGGUGAAAGCCCGACGCCUAACGUCGGAAUUGCCUUUGAUACUGCUAAACUUGAAUCAGGUUGAGGUAGGCGGAAUGUGGCAUGUAGCGGUGAAAUGCAUAGAUAUGCCAUGGAACACCAAUUGCGAAGGCAGCUUACUGGCCCUGUAUUGACACUGAGGCACGAAAGCGUGGGUAGCGAACAGGAUUAGAUACCCCGGUAGUCC